GUGUGGGUAUCAAACAGGAUUAGAUACCUUGGUAGUCCACACGGUAAACGAUGAAUACUCGCUGUUUGCGAUAUACGGCAAGCGGCCAAGCGAAAGCGUUAAGUAUUCCACCUGGGGAGUACGCCGGCAACGGUGAAACUCAAAGGAAUUGACGGGGGCCCGCACAAGCGGAGGAACAUGUGGUUUAAUUCGAUGAUACGCGAGGAACCUUACCCGGGCUUAAAUUGCAGAUGAAUUACGGUGAAAGCCGUAAGCCGCAAGGCAUCUGUGAAGGUGCUGCAUGGUUGUCGUCAGCUCGUGCCGUGAGGUGUCGGCUUAAGUGCCAUAACGAGCGCAACCCUUGUUGUCAGUUACUAACAGGUUCCGCUGAGGACUCUGACAAGACUGCCAUCGUAAGAUGUGAGGAAGGUGGGGAUGACGUCAAAUCAGCACGGCCCUUACGUCCGGGGCUACACACGUGUUACAAUGGGGGGUACAGAGGGCCGCUACCACGCGAGUGGAUGCCAAUCCCCAAAACCUCUCUCAGUUCGGACUGGAGUCUGCAACCCGACUCCACGAAGCUGGAUUCGCUAGUAAUCGCGCAUCAGCCACGGCGCGGUGAAUACGUUCCCGGGCCUUGUACACACCGCCCGUCAAGCCAUGGGAGCCGGGGGUACCAAAAGUGCGUAACCGCAAGGAGCGCCCUAGG
RNAcentral lists this ribosomal RNA (688 nucleotides) under uncultured organism. RNAcentral describes it as "SSU rRNA". It matches the Rfam family "Bacterial small subunit ribosomal RNA", at positions 759 to 1461 of the family's 1533-position model. The record is from RNAcentral.